CCGCUACCACCUCCUCCGCCGUUCUUCUAUUCCCUUUGGGUCGCUGGUUCUCUAGGAUCCUUGGUUUCUUCUCACCCCGCCUCUCUCACCAUGUCUUCUCUCGCUCUGCCCAGUUGCCGUUGUGUGUCCCCGACGACCGCUGCCGCUGUUCCCUCCCCAUCGACCGCUGCCGCCGUUCCCUCCCCGUCAUCCGCCGCAUGGAUCAAGUUCUCGCUACCAUCGUCGUUCUGUCUAAUACUCUUUCUUAGGGAGGAAGAUAGAGGAUGUGAAGGCUACUAGAAAGCAUGGGAGCCCAUCCAGAUCCAUCUUAGGAGCCCACCACUUCCGUUGUUCCGCACCUCGCCCUCCAGCAGCGACGCCUUCGAUCUUUCUCUGAGCCGAGCUCCUCGUGUGACUGUGCUCCGAUGGCGCAGCUUCAGGGGAACAGGAUUGUGAAAGAAAAGAAAAGAAAAGGAAUAAGCUGCAGUAAAAUUUUGGUGAAGAACAUUUUUCCAUAGCUUGUGAACACGUUGGUCCUCAGAUUUUGAUUUUUUUAUGAUUUAUAGUUCAAGCAUCCUUUUUGUAUUCGAUAACUUUAUUUGUUCGCAUACUGCUUGAUGUUGCAUGGUCUAUAGUCAAAUCACCACUUGAAGAAGAAGAGGUGGGUGCAGGCGCUCAUGGACCAGCUCAACCUGCAGGACACGGGCAAUACCGCGGCGAGGGUCGGUGCGUGCCGAUAGGCACAGACACCAUCCAUACCCAUGAGAACGGUCUGGUUCAGCAGCUGCAUGCACAUCUGGUGGGUGCGACCUCCAUGCUUGAGCAACGACGACCAGCACGGCAAACAAAUAGGAGAAUUGGCUUUGCUCUCCAUAGGGAAUACAACCAUGAAUUGUUCCACUUUUGCAAAGUUUGGAGAUGGUCGAGAUCUGCAUGUGCAGAAGCAUUUCAAGUAAAUUAGGUCUGAAUGGCAGGUACCAUAUGGUAGGAAAUAUGUUCUAUAUGGUGGUAUUCCCGAGAUACAUAUUUCAUCAUAAGUUGCUCUGAAUAAAGUAAAAUGUGAUCUCAGGUAUUAGCUUACUCUUAUGUAAGUAAAAGCUGGUCACAACAAUCUAAUUUGUGAUGACCUAUAGAAAUAUGAAAAAAGAGAGAAUGCGCUUGAAUAUUAACUGCGUUGAUGCCUAUUCAAUCAAACCAAUCAUUAUUGUUACCUUAAGUGUUUCCAUUAUAUGACAUUUUGUGUCUACACUUCAAAAAAUGAAGAGUUCAACAUGAAUGGGGACAUUAAAUAAGUCCAAGUGAGGUGCUUAUUUAAUUUUAUGUUUUUUGGGGGUAAACAUGGAUUCCAUCUUAUGAUUUACACUAACAAAAGAUGCACCAGCUCAGUUUUUAUCCAUCUACAGAACUAAUAAAGUAAAGAUAUCCUAUUGUUGGACAGAAAUCUUGACAUAUGGAUUCUUAUAGCAUGAUAGGGAGCAGGUGCGGCUCCCAAAGCCAUGUUGUUGCAGUUUUUUUUCUUCAGAUCUUGGAACAGCAAGAUCACUGUAUACAAUUGUCUUCAAUUUGUACAUCAAUUGGAAGAAAAAUCUAAACUUACAUCUCCUGCUAAGAAUGAUAGGGUAUUCUUGCCCAGUUUAUAGGUCUUGGUCAGUUUUUGCAUGUUUUUUAUUGUUUUAUCUUCGACAAGCUUAUAAUGUUCAGUGGAUUCAUACUUUGUCCAAAAUUGCAAAGGAGCUUAUACAGUGACCACAUGCAGAAUAUAGAUAUAGCUCUCAAGGUACUUUCCUUUGUUAUGUACUGCAAAUUAUUUUGUGUGAUAAAGCAACCAUUUUGAAAAUCAGAAGUGCAGACGUUGUCAUAGAAGGAUAACUACGAACCUUGCAUUAUAUACUAUUGUCAGCGCAAGCAGUGGGUUGAAGUUUAUCUAGAACAGUGUGUUUCCUUCACAAAAAACUUGUGUCAUCUGACCAGCUAUUGUGGCACACCGAGCAACCUGUGGUGCUACUCAUCAUUGUUUAAUUAGGGAACUAACCAUUCAUGUGUUGCUACUUGCUACCUACAAGGUAUAUCUACUUAUGAAAAAUGUGGUGCACCUGUAAUCUAGCAUC
Molecule: long non-coding RNA, 2087 nt
Organism: Triticum aestivum (bread wheat)
Lineage: Eukaryota; Viridiplantae; Streptophyta; Magnoliopsida; Poales; Poaceae
Exons: 3
Source: RefSeq, a predicted model, not a curated record